UACGAAGGGGGCUAGCGUUGCUCGGAAUUACUGGGCGUAAAGCGCACGUAGGCGGCUUCUUAAGUCGGUGGUGAAAUCCUGGAGCUCAACUCCAGAACUGCCUUCGAUACUGGGAAGCUCGAGUCCGGGAGAGGUGAGUGGAACUGCGAGUGUGGAGGUGAAAUUCGUAGAUAUUCGCAAGAACACCAGUGGCGAAGGCGGCUCACUGGCCCGGUACUGACGCUGAGGUGCGAAAGCGUGGGGAGCAAACAGG
This 253-nucleotide ribosomal RNA is filed under the name uncultured bacterium. RNAcentral describes it as "partial 16S ribosomal RNA". It matches the Rfam family "Bacterial small subunit ribosomal RNA", at positions 524 to 776 of the family's 1533-position model. The record is from RNAcentral.